CUUGGGUCUCUCAGGUUUCGGUUUGAGCAUUUUGUCUUCCUCGGCCGGCCACUCCUUCGAUAACCCUCGACGGCUGGAUAAAAACCCUAAUCACUAUGGAGGUUCAGUAUUUCUCUACGCCUCCUUCUUCUAAAGGAGCUACUUCGAAAUCUGGACGCGUUGCAACGCCAAGCUCAUCGCCUCAACUUUCAUAGGUAAUAAGGCCAUGGAGACCAUCGAUGUAAAGGAACAUUCGGAAUCAAUGGUCGAAGCUGUCUUCACUCAAACAACAAUGGAUUUCUUCUUCGCCUAUGGGGCGAUCUCAUGCUACCUCCAUUGUGAAUGCCUAUCUAUCUCAAAAGUAUAUGCCUUCUGUGGAGCUAGGCUCUCUCAAUGAAGCGUUUGAUAUACGAAACAAAGCUUGGUUGAAAUUGUCUUAGCAGCAGUUACUCAUGUUUUCAUAAGGCAAGGAUUGAACAUUUUUACCAUAUACAAAAAACCGAUGCUUUGGAACAGAUGUCGAACUAUUUGAAGUUCAUGAAGGAAAUGCUGUCAAAGAAGAAGAAAUUUGAAAAUAUGAGACUAUGAGUUUAACUGGGGAGUGUAGUGCCAUACUGCAGAAGAAGUUACCUCAUAAAUUAAAGGAUCCUGGGAGUUUCACUAUCCUUUGCACUAUAGGGAAUCUUACAGAUUGUGAUGAUGUUUAAGUUUUAUCAAGUACUAGUCCGCCAUCCAGAUUCGUGGAUCCCCACUCAUGCCCAGACUUGUAUCACUCAUCUAUUGUGUGGUUUAUCUUAUUUUUCAUGCACUGAGGACAAUGCAUCAUUUUAAGUUUGGGGUGGAGGGCGUUAUAUGUACUUGGUACUUGUGCUGUUUGUUUAACUAAUAUGUAUGUUAAUUUGAGUUGAAUGAUUUAUGCAUGCUAAGUUUUUUAUUUUUAUGUUAAUGAAAAAUUCUUAAGGAUGUUUUGAAAACGGGUUAAUUUUGGUUAGGAAUAAUGCCUAGACUGGUUAAAUUUGGAUCUUUGGUUGCUUAUUCUAAUGAUGAUGGUUGAUGAGUCACUCUUGGUGUAUAUCACGCUUUGAAAUGGAAAUUGGAUAACAUAGUCCUAUCUUGAGUUUUCUUUGUUCUAAAUUCUUCUUUAUAUCCUCUGUUUAUUCUGAGCACGAACUACUUUCAUUUAAAACCUUUAACUGAACAAGAAAUUAAUUUAAGUCAAUUCGGUUGUCACUUCAAAAGACCCCGCUGGUUAGAGAGUGUCUUGCAUGAUGGUUAGUAAUGUUAGACUGGGGAAGGUAAAAAAGAGAGAGAUUAUUUUGCCUGGAAAAAAAAAAACUUAAAAGAAUGUCAUUUUGGAAAAAAAAAAAUUGUAAUGUGUAUGCAUGGACAGGGGUAAAAAGAGUUGUCAUUCCUGUGAUCAGUUAGGAUACUUGGGAUUUGACUAGGUACGAGUCCCUAUAGUGUUUGUAUGAAAGCUAGUACCCCUAGGUAAAAUGAUGCAAGUUUAUGGCCCUUUUAGAGUGAGUAUUGCAGGCGCUUUAAUUGAUAUAUUACUAUCUUGAGUGUGUUGGUGCUCGAUGAUUGGUGCUUGGGCUAGAGUAGGGGGAAAACUGAUAAAACUUAAUUAAAUCUUAAGUCAGUUAAUGAGUUUUAAAUUAAAGGAGGGGUCACACACACACGCAGGGGAGAAAGAGUUUUGGCUUUAGAAACUCUCAAUGGUUAGGAUGUGUAUGAAUUUUUCUGUGGAUAGGUGUUGCAUGUAUUGGGAAUCUGAUGAAAUUUGAGUGAGAGCAUACAUACCUAGGAUCUUGGCUAUGCAGUAUUUGUUAUUCUUCUUAUUUUUUGUUCCUUCCUUCUUUCAUUUGCUCAAAAAUACUAAAGUUUUAAGUUUUUGGUGGUGAAAAGCACCUGAAAAGUUCUUUAAUUACUUUCAAUAAUGGAGUUACUAUUGCUACUUUUGUAUGGUUUGAUGUGGUUUAUUGAGUGAUUUCAGGAAACCAAACAAUAGGAGCAAAUUGGGCAAAAAAUGAUCAAAACCCGUGGCAAAAGUCCAAAUAUGAGUAUCUAGGGGUCAACUAUGGAAUUAGGAAGGAAGCUAGGUCAAAUUUGAAGAAAAAGAGACAAAAUUUAGAAGAAAAUUUGGGGGGUCAGCGUUAAGUUUGUGUUGCAACGCUGCCCCCCGACGAUGAAGACCCAAGAGUAGAGAACAGGGCAGUGUCACAAUGUUGUGAUUCAGUGUUGCGACGCUACGAAUGGCAAGUGUGUGGUACCAUUGCUUCGAAUGUCAGCAUUGCAACACUGCGAUAAUUCUUCUUAAAGAGCAACAACGCCGUCUGAGAAAGGGAGAAGAGAAGAGUUCUUGGGAGAUAGUUCGACCUAGGGUAGAAAGCACUCAUCUGGAAAGUGAUUAUGAAUAGGAGAUCAACCUGGAAUUCGUUGGCAAAGGUCAAGAAGAUCGUGACUGAGAUCUAGUUACGGUGAAGGGAGAUCAUUUCUUUAAUUCUUUAAUUCAUUCUUUCUCCACGGCAAAUUUUCUUUGUCUAGGCAUUAUUAGUAGUAGAAUCAUGUGUAGCUAAACUAUAAAUUCUAUAAUGUUGUUGAUUUUUGGGUA
This is a non-coding RNA of Benincasa hispida (wax gourd), 2590 nucleotides long. The record is from RefSeq and is a predicted model, not a curated record. NCBI's taxonomy places the organism in Eukaryota, Viridiplantae, Streptophyta, Magnoliopsida, Cucurbitales, Cucurbitaceae.